This 253-nucleotide ribosomal RNA is filed under the name uncultured bacterium. Its description in RNAcentral is "partial 16S ribosomal RNA". It matches the Rfam family "Bacterial small subunit ribosomal RNA", at positions 524 to 776 of the family's 1533-position model. The record is from RNAcentral.
GACGAAGGAUGCGAGCGUUAUCCGGAUUUACUGGGUUUAAAGGGUGCGUAGGCGGGCGUAUAAGUCAGUGGUUAAAGGUCAUGGCUUAACCAUGGUAGGGCCAUUGAUACUGUAUGUCUGGAGUACAAGAGGCGUAUGCGGAAUAUGGCAUGUAGCGGUGAAAUGCAUAGAUAUGCCAUAGAACACCGAUCGCGAAGGCAGCAUACGAUUUUGUAACUGACGCUGAGGCACGAAAGCGUGGGGAUCAAACAGG